RNAcentral lists this ribosomal RNA (441 nucleotides) under uncultured bacterium. RNAcentral describes it as "partial 16S ribosomal RNA". It matches the Rfam family "Bacterial small subunit ribosomal RNA", at positions 338 to 795 of the family's 1533-position model. The record is from RNAcentral.
CCUACGGGAGGCAGCAGUGGGGGAUAUUGCACAAUGGGGGGAACCCUGAUGCAGCGACGCCGCGUGGGUGAAGGAGUGCUUCGGCAUGUAAAGCCCUAUCGGCAGGGAAGAAGCAAGACGUUACCUGACUAGGAACCCCCGGAUAACUACGUGCCAGCAGCCGCGUUAAUACGUAGGGGGCGAGCUUGAUCCGGAUUCACUGGGGGUAAAGGGAGCGGAGACGGCCAAGCAAGCCAGGGGUGAAAGACCGGGGCCCAACCUCGGGACUGCCUUUGAAACUGGAAGGCUGGAGUGCAGGAGGGGCGAGCGGAAUUCCGGGUGUAGCGGUGAAAUGCGUAGAUAUCAGGAAGAACACCGGCGGCGAAGGCGACCUGCUGGACCGUGACUGACGUUGAGGCUCGAAAGCGUGGGGAGCGAACAGGAUUAGAUACCCUAGUAGUC